RNAcentral lists this ribosomal RNA (2583 nucleotides) under Triticum aestivum (bread wheat). Its description in RNAcentral is "partial small subunit ribosomal RNA". The record is from RNAcentral. Lineage: Eukaryota; Viridiplantae; Streptophyta; Magnoliopsida; Poales; Poaceae.
GGUCCGCAGUCCUUUGUAAGGUGAGAGAGCGUUCUCCUCCUCCUCCGCAGCCCCUCUAUCAUCGUCUCCCACAAAUCGCCGCCACCGACCAACUCCUAACUCCCACACCUCGGCGCCGGCCCUCCCCUUCCCCUCCUCUUACCUCGCAGCUUCGGCAGCUGUCGGAUCCGCCGAAUCCCCCACCGAUCCAUCCCUCUAGCAGCACAUCUCUCCCUCUCUCAUGUGACCCCUCGUGUCGCGGCCAACGCCGGCCAAUUCCGCCAACGUCCACCACUACGCAACAGACUCAUGAGCUGCUCUCCGACCCCUCCGUCUGCCAAGAUGGCUGGAUCCGCCGCUCCCGGUCACCGGUGCUCGCCCCGCAACACCUCGCCUGUGGCUGGGGUUACAGCCAUGGGGUCGCGUACAUCACGGGCGUGUCUCCGGUGGUGACUCUCCGUCGGAAAAAGUGCCCCCUCACGCCCUCUCCACCUCUUGGAUGGCGCUCCCUAGCUCGGCGCGCUCGCAUGCGUUGGACUGGACGCCGGCGAUGCGUCCUCCUCUGUCACGUCUCCGGCGCAGCUAUGCACAUGUGGCGACCUCCUCUGCCUCGCGAAGCCGGUGGCCAACCUUCGCUGCGAGCGCUGCAUCGCCUACAAACCGAGCAGAACAUGGGUGUUCUGGAGCAGAUGCUACUUGGUAGAGCAAGCACAGGCGCCAUGAAAGGGGAAGAAUAAGAGUUCUUGCACAUAACAUGUUUGAUGAAAUACAGGCACCACAAAUUGAACUCAUCUCCAAGCUAUGCUUUAUGAGAGGCUACAGAUUGUUACAUUAUUUUGUCCAGUCCAUGAUGCAAGAUUCAUUCAUUUGUGAUUGUUGCAAUAACAAUUAUUGGCCAAAAGCAUGGUUGUGUGUGGUUCCUGCUGCUGUACUGUGGUAUUGGUUUUCUUCCGCCUGCCUGAUGUGGUGAUGCUUUGGUGUGCCUAUUGUUCGCAGAGAUUAACCAAUAUUUGGGAGAUGUGGUGGCUCACCCGAUCGGAAACAGAACAAGAUGAAGGAGCUUAAGUAUAGCCACAUCAGGGUGACCUGGGAGGAAGGAAGUUUACGUGUGAUAGGAGAUGAUCGCCAUAAUCUGGGUGCUAAAGGCCUUUGGAAACAGAACAAGAUGAAGGAGCUUAAGUACAGCCACAUCAGGGCGACCUGGGAGCAAGGAAUUUUACCUGUGAUAGGAGAUGAUCGCCAUAAUCUGGGUGCCAAAGGCCCAGGGGAUUAUAACAUGGUUUUUUUAUAGAAAGUGCCAAAAACUCCAGCAGGCCGCAGGACUACUACGCCGCUGGUGCCUAUCAACGUCGCUGCCGAUGCCCUGCAUCCGAUUGGCUGCCAAGGAAUCCACCAACACGUCCCAAUACACGUCUGUAUCCCACAUCAUGAGCUCCUCGAAGGUGAGCAGCUGGCCCAGCCUCGCCAUGUAGCACACGGUCUUGGUAGUGGAGAUGUUGUCAUUGUCAUUGCAGUCGAAGGUGUGGAGCAUAGGGCGUGAGCACCGGCAUGAUGGUGUGCGCCAGCUCGUCGAACUCGGAGGCCCGCUGACAUUUGCAUCGAUGGCCAGCAGCAGAAGGACUCCUCACCCGACGGUCGCAAGCUUAGGGGGUGGAGCGGGGCAUCGAGCUUGAGAUCUCUUGGCACUUGUCACGUCAUCACUGACUCAGACCAGAAGAGUUCUGUUGUGUUCGGUGUCACGCCCUCCACAGCCUGCGAUGGUGAUCACGAUGCCCCUGCGGAACGACGCGCUGAUACGUCUCCGUCGUAUCUAUAAUUUUUGAUUGUUCCAUGCCAAUAUUCUACAACUUUCAUAUACUUUUUGGCAACUUUUUAUAUUAUUUUUGGGACUAACAUAUUGAUCCAGUGUCCAGUGCCAGUUCCUGUCUGUUGCAUGUUUUUGAUUUCGCAGAAUAUCCAUAUCAAACGAAAUCCAAACGGGAUAAAAAUGGACGGAGAAUAUUUUGGAAUAUUUGGAGAAUUCUGAAAGAAAAAUCCAUGCGAGAUGGUGCCCGAGGUGGCCACGAGGCAGGGGGCGCGCCUGCCCCCUGGGCGCGCCCCUGACCCUCGUGGGCUACCCGUAAGGCGGUUGAUGCCCUUCUUCGACCGCAAGAAAGCUAAUUUUUGGUAAAAAAAUCACGGCGAAGGUUUCAGUCCAAUCCGAGUUACGGAUCUCCAUAUAUAUACGAAACGGUGAAAGGGCAGCAGAACAGAACGCUGAAACAGAGAGAGACAGAGAGACAGAUCCAAUUUCGGAGGGGCUCUCGCCCCUCCCAUGCCAUGGAGGCCAAGGACCAGAGGGGAAACCCUUCUCCCAUCUAGGGAGGAGGUCAAGGAAGAAGAGGAAGAAGGGGGCCCCUCUCCCCCUCUCCUCCGGUGACGCCGGAACGCUGCCGUGGCCACCAUCAUCAUCACCGCAAUCUUCACCAACACCUCCGCCAUCUUCACCAAUAUCUCCAUCACCUUCCCCCCUCUAUCUACAGCGGUCCACUCUCCCGCAACCCGUUGUACCCUCUACUUGAACAUGGUGCUUUAUGCUUCAUAUUAUUAUCCAAUGAUGUGUUG